Molecule: ribosomal RNA, 608 nt
Filed under: Variovorax paradoxus
Lineage: Bacteria; Pseudomonadati; Pseudomonadota; Betaproteobacteria; Burkholderiales; Comamonadaceae
Description: bacterial SSU rRNA
Rfam family: Bacterial small subunit ribosomal RNA
Source: RNAcentral
CAUACGAUCUACGGAUGAAAGCAGGGGAUCGCAAGACCUUGCGCGAAUGGAGCGGCCGAUGGCAGAUUAGGUAGUUGGUGAGGUAAAGGCUCACCAAGCCUUCGAUCUGUAGCUGGUCUGAGAGGACGACCAGCCACACUGGGACUGAGACACGGCCCAGACUCCUACGGGAGGCAGCAGUGGGGAAUUUUGGACAAUGGGCGCAAGCCUGAUCCAGCCAUGCCGCGUGCAGGAUGAAGGCCUUCGGGUUGUAAACUGCUUUUGUACGGAACGAAACGGCCUUUUCUAAUAAAGAGGGCUAAUGACGGUACCGUAAGAAUAAGCACCGGCUAACUACGUGCCAGCAGCCGCGGUAAUACGUAGGGUGCAAGCGUUAAUCGGAAUUACUGGGCGUAAAGCGUGCGCAGGCGGUAAUGUAAGACAGUUGUGAAAUCCCCGGGCUCAACCUGGGAACUGCAUCUGUGACUGCAUUGCUGGAGUACGGCAGAGGGGGAUGGAAUUCCGCGUGUAGCAGUGAAAUGCGUAGAUAUGCGGAGGAACACCGAUGGCGAAGGCAAUNCCCCUGGGCCUGUACUGACGCUCAUGCACGAAAGCGUGGGGAGCAAACA